GAUGAAGAACGCAGCGAAAUGCGAUAAGUAGUGUGAAUUGCAGAAUUCAGUGAAUCAUCGAAUCUUUGAACGCACAUUGCGCCCCUUGGUAUCCCGAGGGGCAUGCCUGUUCGAGCGUCAUUUCACCACUCAAGCCUGGCUUGGUGUUGGGCGACGUCCCCUUUGGGGACGCGCCUCGAAACGCUCGGCGGCGUGGCACCGGCCUUAAGCGUAGCAGAAUCUUUCGCUUUGGAAGUCGGGGCCCCGUCUGCCGGAAGACCUACUCGCAAGGUUGACCUCGGAUCAGGCAGGGAUACCCGCUGAACUUAAGCAUAUCAAUAAGCGGAGGA
Molecule: unclassified non-coding RNA, 329 nt
Filed under: soil metagenome
Description: partial contains 5.8S ribosomal RNA, internal transcribed spacer 2, and large subunit ribosomal RNA
Rfam family: 5.8S ribosomal RNA (bases 1-120)
Source: RNAcentral